RNAcentral lists this ribosomal RNA (254 nucleotides) under uncultured bacterium. RNAcentral describes it as "partial 16S ribosomal RNA". It matches the Rfam family "Bacterial small subunit ribosomal RNA", at positions 524 to 776 of the family's 1533-position model. The record is from RNAcentral.
GACGGAGGAUGCAAGCGUUAUCCGGAAUGAUUGGGCGUAAAGCGUCCGCAGGUGGCAGUUCAAGUCUGCUGUCAAAGACCGGGGCUUAACUUCGGAAAGGCAGUGGAAGCUGAACAGCUAGAGUAUGGUAGGGGCAGAGGGAAUUCCUGGUGUAGCGGUGAAAUGCGUAGAGAUCAGGAAGAACAUCGGUGGCGAAGGCGCUCUGCUGGACCAUAACUGACACUCGAGGGACGAAAGCUAGGGGAGCGAAUGGG